This 301-nucleotide ribosomal RNA is filed under the name uncultured bacterium. RNAcentral describes it as "partial 16S ribosomal RNA". It matches the Rfam family "Bacterial small subunit ribosomal RNA", at positions 509 to 809 of the family's 1533-position model. The record is from RNAcentral.
CAGUAGCCGCGGGAAUACGUAGGGUGCAAGCGUUAAUCGGAAUUACUGGGCGUAAAGCGUGCGCAGGCGGUUAUAUAAGACAGAUGUGAAAUCCCCGGGCUCAACCUGGGAACUGCAUUUGUGACUGUAUAGCUAGAGUACGGCAGAGGGGGAUGGAAUUCCGCGUGUAGCAGUGAAAUGCGUAGAUAUGCGGAGGAACACCGAUGGCGAAGGCAAUCCCCUGGGCCUGUACUGACGCUCAUGCACGAAAGCGUGGGGAGCAAACAGGAUUAGAUACCCCGGUAGUCCCUGUCUCUUAUAU